RNAcentral lists this ribosomal RNA (253 nucleotides) under uncultured bacterium. RNAcentral describes it as "partial 16S ribosomal RNA". It matches the Rfam family "Bacterial small subunit ribosomal RNA", at positions 524 to 776 of the family's 1533-position model. The record is from RNAcentral.
UACGGGGGGAGCAAGCGUUGUUCGGAUUUACUGGGCGUAAAGGGCGCGUAGGCGGCGUGACAAGUCACUUGUGAAAUCUCCGGGCUUAACUCGGAACGGUCAAGUGAUACUGUCGUGCUAGAGUACAGAAGGGGCAACUGGAAUUCUCGGUGUAGCGGUGAAAUGCGUAGAUAUCGAGAGGAACACCUGCGGCGAAGGCGGCCUUCUGGACAGCAUCUGACGCUGAGACGCGAAAGCGUGGGGAGCAAACAGG